Molecule: ribosomal RNA, 253 nt
Filed under: uncultured bacterium
Lineage: Bacteria
Description: partial 16S ribosomal RNA
Rfam family: Bacterial small subunit ribosomal RNA
Source: RNAcentral
UACGGGGGGGGCAAGCGUUGUUCGGAAUUACUGGGCGUAAGGGGCUCGUAGGCGGCCGCUUAAGUCAGACGUGAAAUCCCUCGGCUCAACCGGGGCACUGCGUCUGAGACUGAAUGGCUUGAAUCCGGGAGAGGGAUGCGGAAUUCCAGGUGUAGCGGUGAAAUGCGUAGAUAUCUGGAGGAACACCGGUGGCGAAGGCAGCAUCCUGGACCGGUAUUGACGCUGAGGAGCGAAAGCCAGGGGAGCAAACGGG